ACGAGUCCGUGAGUUCACAAGUACAGAGAAGGAACAAUGACUCCAGUUGAGGCUUUGAGAGAGUUUAUUCAGCAGCGACUCACUGCUGCUGCUGGAGAAAUCUUCACCGCGUUUCAACAAACUCUCCUCCACUACGAGAAGGAGAUGAAUGUUCAGGACAGACUGCUGGAAAUCACAGGAGAACUUCCAGUCCCGUUCUCCAGAACAGAGCUCCAACAGCACCGUGACUGUAGAGAGGAGCAGGAAACAAACUACUG
This is a long non-coding RNA of Salarias fasciatus (jewelled blenny), 257 nucleotides long. RefSeq lists it as uncharacterized. The record is from RefSeq and is a predicted model, not a curated record. NCBI's taxonomy places the organism in Eukaryota, Metazoa, Chordata, Actinopteri, Blenniiformes, Blenniidae. The transcript has 3 exons.